CGCUCUAUACCCUUUGUGACAUACCUAUAACUGUUGCUUCGGCGGGUAGGGUCUCCGUGACCCUCCCGGCCUCCCGCCCCCGGGCGGGUCGGCGCCCGCCGGAGGAUAACCAAACUCUGAUUUAACGACGUUUCUUCUGAGUGGUACAAGCAAAUAAUCAAAACUUUUAACAACGGAUCUCUUGGUUCUGGCAUCGAUGAAGAACGCAGCGAAAUGCGAUAAGUAAUGUGAAUUGCAGAAUUCAGUGAAUCAUCGAAUCUUUGAACGCACAUUGCGCCCGCCAGCAUUCUGGCGGGCAUGCCUGUUCGAGCGUCAUUUCAACCCUCAAGCUCUGCUUGGUGUUGGGGCCCUACAGCUGAUGUAGGCCCUCAAAGGUAGUGGCGGACCCUCCCGGAGCCUCCUUUGCGUAGUAACUUUACGUCUCGCACUGGGAUCCGGAGGGACUCUUGCCGUAAAACCCCCCAAUUUUCCAAAGGUUGACCUCGGAUCAGGUAGGAAUACCCGCUGAACUUAAGCAUAUCAAUAAGCGGAGGAA
RNAcentral lists this ribosomal RNA (535 nucleotides) under Colletotrichum gloeosporioides. RNAcentral describes it as "eukaryotic LSU rRNA". The stretch from base 162 to 315 matches the Rfam family "5.8S ribosomal RNA". The record is from RNAcentral. Lineage: Eukaryota; Fungi; Ascomycota; Sordariomycetes; Glomerellales; Glomerellaceae.